Molecule: RNA transcript, 1131 nt
Organism: Cyprinus carpio (common carp)
Lineage: Eukaryota; Metazoa; Chordata; Actinopteri; Cypriniformes; Cyprinidae
Gene name: regulator of telomere elongation helicase 1-like
Exons: 14
Source: RefSeq, a predicted model, not a curated record
GCCAAAUAUUUGUGUUUUGGGAUCUAGAGAACAGCUGUGCAUAAACCAGGAAGUGAUGCGUCAAGAGAGUAACCACAUUAAGAGAAAAGCACUUACAAAGAAAUCAUGAAUACUAUCAUGGAUGUGGAGGAUCUUGUGAAAACAUGAAAAAGGAAAGAGUUUGUCCAUACUACCUGUCACGCUCACUCAAACAACACGCUGAUGUCAUCUUCAUGCCUUACAACUACCUGCUUGACCCAAAGAGUCGAAGAGCGCACAACAUAGAGCUGAAAGGAGCUGUGGUUAUUUUUGACGAGGCUCAUAAUAUUGAGAAGAUGUGUGAAGAGUCCACCUCUUUUGACCUCUCCCCUCACGACCUGAUUUCUGCCAUUGAAGCCGUGGAUCGACUACUGCGGGAACAUGCCUCAGACAUUAGCAAAACUAAUUCUGGAUUAAAACUGGAUAUCACCACAAUUGCAAAAAUAAAACAAAUUUUGAUGGAUCUGGGAUCUUCCAUUAAUGGUUUUGAGAUGCCAGCAAAUAAUCAAGGAAUCACUAAACCCGGCAGCUUCAUAUAUGAGCUUUUUCAAACGGCUAAUGUAAACUUUGAGAAUAAAACAUCUAUAGUGGAAGCCAUGGAGCAGAUUACAGGAUAUAUAGCAGGGAGGCCUGGUGUCUUUCUGAACACCAGCGGACUACAGAAAGUAGCAGAUAUUAUCCAGUUGGUGUUUGGGGCUAAACCUACAGAGGACAGCAAGACAUCACAGAUGGGAAACGGCAUGAAGGAAUUUAAGGUCCACAUUCAUCCAGUCACCAACAACUUCAAGACUAAACUGCAGACUGAUUUAUGUGCGUCCUCUUCUACAAAAAAACAAGGGAAUGUGCUGAGUUACUGGUGUUUUUCUCCGGGGUUUCAGCAUGCAGGAGCUGCUCGGACAGGGAGUACGCAGCAUCAUUCUGACCAGUGGAACUCUCUCGCCGCUCUCAUCCUUCACCUGUGAAAUGAAAAUUCCUUUCCCUGUAUCCUUGGAGAAUCUUCAUGUCAUCCAGCCUGAUCAGAUUUCCGUCAGUAUCAUUGAAAAAGGUCCGGACGGCGUGAAGUUGAGCACAGCCUUUGACAUGAGGUUUGUUCCUGAAAACAUGUCAUCUAUG